AUUGAACGCUGGCGGCAGGCCUAACACAUGCAAGUCGAACGAGUGGCGGACGGGAGAGUAAUGUGUGGGAAACUGCAGGAGGGAGGGGGAUAACUACUGAAAACGGUAGAAAAUACCGUAUACCAUAAGAUGCGCCCAGAUGGGAUUAGCUAGUGGGUGGGGAAAGGGCACACCAAGGCGACGAUCCCUAGCUGGUCUGAGAGGAUGACCAGCCACACUGGAACUGAGACACGGUCCAGACUCCUCCGGGAGGCAGCAGUGGGGAAUAUUGCACAAUGGGCGCAAGCCUGAUGCAGCCAUGCCGCGUGUAUGAAGAAGGCCUUCGGGUUGUAAAGUACUUUCAGCGGGGAGGCGUUACCCGCAGAAGAAGCACCGGCUAACUCCGUGCCAGCAGCCGCGGUAAUUC
Molecule: ribosomal RNA, 406 nt
Filed under: uncultured bacterium
Lineage: Bacteria
Description: partial 16S ribosomal RNA
Rfam family: Bacterial small subunit ribosomal RNA
Source: RNAcentral